UUAGAGUUUUGGACAUGGCUCAGAUUGAACGCUGGCGGCAGGCCUAACACAUGCAAGUCGAGCGGAUGAAGGGAGCUUGCUCCUGGAUUCAGCGGCGGACGGGUGAGUAAUGCCUAGGAAUCUGCCUGGUAGUGGGGGAUAACGUCCGGAAACGGGCGCUAAUACCGCAUACGUCCUGAGGGAGAAAGUGGGGGAUCUUCGGACCUCACGCUAUCAGAUGAGCCUAGGUCGGAUUAGCUAGUUGGUGGGGUAAAGGCCUACCAAGGCGACGAUCCGUAACUGGUCUGAGAGGAUGAUCAGUCACACUGGAACUGAGACACGGUCCAGACUCCUACGGGAGGCAGCAGUGGGGAAUAUUGGACAAUGGGCGAAAGCCUGAUCCAGCCAUGCCGCGUGUGUGAAGAAGGUCUUCGGAUUGUAAAGCACUUUAAGUUGGGAGGAAGGGCAGUAAGUUAAUACCUUGCUGUUUUGACGUUACCAACAGAAUAAGCACCGGCUAACUUCGUGCCAGCAGCCGCGGUAAUACGAAGGGGGCAAACGUUAAUCGGAAUUACUGGGCGUAAAGCGCGCGUAGGUGGUUCAGCAAGUUGGAUGUGAAAUCCCCGGGCUCAACCUGGGAACUGCAUCCAAAACUACUGAGCUAGAGUACGGUAGAGGGUGGUGGAAUUUCCUGUGUAGCGGUGAAAUGCGUAGAUAUAGGAAGGAACACCAGUGGCGAAGGCGACCACCUGGACUGAUACUGACACUGAGGUGCGAAAGACGCGGGGAGCAAACAGGAUUAGAUACCCUGGUAGUCCACGCCGUAAACGAUGUCGACUAGCCGUUGGGAUCCUUGAGAUCUUAGUGGCGCAGCUAACGCGAUAAGUCGACCGCCUGGGGAGUACGGCCGCAAGGUUAAAACUCAAAUGAAUUGACGGGGGCCCGCACAAGCGGUGGAGCAUGUGGUUUAAUUCGAAGCAACGCGAAGAACCUUACCUGGCCUUGACAUGCUGAGAACUUUCCAGAGAUGGAUUGGUGCCUUCGGGAACUCAGACACAGGUGCUGCAUGGCUGUCGUCAGCUCGUGUCGUGAGAUGUUGGGUUAAGUCCCGUAACGAGCGCAACCCUUGUCCUUAGUUACCAGCACCUCGGGUGGGCACUCUAAGGAGACUGCCGGUGACAAACCGGAGGAAGGUGGGGAUGACGUCAAGUCAUCAUGGCCCUUACGGCCAGGGCUACACACGUGCUACAAUGGUCGGUACAAAGGGUUGCCAAGCCGCGAGGUGGAGCUAAUCCCAUAAAACCGAUCGUAGUCCGGAUCGCAGUCUGCAACUCGACUGCGUGAAGUCGGAAUCGCUAGUAAUCGUGAAUCAGAAUGUCACGGUGAAUACGUUCCCGGGCCUUGUACACACCGCCCGUCACACCAUGGGAGUGGGUUGCUCCAGAAGUAGCUAGUCUAACCGCAAGGGGGACGGUUACCACGGAGUGAUUCAUGACUGGGGUGAA
RNAcentral lists this ribosomal RNA (1484 nucleotides) under Pseudomonas aeruginosa. Its description in RNAcentral is "bacterial SSU rRNA". It matches the Rfam family "Bacterial small subunit ribosomal RNA". The record is from RNAcentral. Lineage: Bacteria; Pseudomonadati; Pseudomonadota; Gammaproteobacteria; Pseudomonadales; Pseudomonadaceae.